AUAUAUUUCAGUGUCAUUUCGCAAUAAGUCUGCUUGCCUUCAGGGUCUUCAAUCUCCUUAAAUAGGAUCACUAGAUUCGCUACAAAUAAGUUCAUACUGAAGGCUUCAUCAAGUUCUUGUUCCUGCAAUUUACAAAGAUGAGCAGUUUUCUAGCAAAGUUGGUUUUAGUCGUUGCAGCAUUGUAUCUUCUUCUCGGUGUUUUUCCUGCAACUUCUUCAUCACUUCCUCAUGGUAAUGAUGUUUUUCUUGUUGGCGUUUUUCAGCUUUAAUAUAAGUUUUCAAGGAUAAUUUCUUGCAACUGACAAUUUUCUUUCUUGCUGCGAUUUUCUUGUGGCUGAAGUCAACGAGAAGAAUACUUUAUCGCAGGUUGACUGUGGAGAUGGCUCGACAACGAUGAUUGGAAGAAAAGAAGGGAAGUUUGGUAGCCAAAGUGAGAUUGUUAGCAAGAAAACUGUGCCCGUCCGGCGCAGCCUAAGAUUAAUCCUUAAGUCGUCGCCGCCUUCACCCGUUAAAAACCCAACAAAGUCACAGGCAGGCACUGCACCUCCUCCACUUCUUAUAUGAUAAUGGCUAUAUAUGUUUAUAGUCAGUUUUCUUAAAAGCACCGGUUAGGCGGUUGGGCACGAUCACCGUAGUACAUAAGCAUUUAAAAAAUAAAAAAUAACGUCUAAACCUACUUUAGACAUCCGUCUAGAUCUGCUUAGAUCACGACUGUCACUUAGAUAUAAAUUUUAUCUUUCAUUUUGCAUUUUAUUUUCUAAUAAAUUGUAAGAGACUUAUAUGAUAGCUAGUUGGAUUAACACUCACUAUAUGCUUCUCCCCAUAUUUUCAAUAUGUUCUGUUAUUUAAAAUUUACAUGUCAUUCUAUUUUGCAAUUUAUAUAUUACAAGACAAUUAUGUAUUUUUUUUUUAAAUUUAGUAGACAUUUAUUCAUAUGUUUUAAUAAAUUUUGUUAAAAUUAGGUCUCACCUAUACGCUUAGGCGCUAGACUCUACCUGUUGCCCGAUUAGUGCCGAA
Molecule: long non-coding RNA, 1017 nt
Filed under: Malus domestica (apple)
Lineage: Eukaryota; Viridiplantae; Streptophyta; Magnoliopsida; Rosales; Rosaceae
Description: long non-coding RNA (MDOM_LNC014271)
Source: RNAcentral